RNAcentral lists this ribosomal RNA (776 nucleotides) under uncultured Neocallimastigales. RNAcentral describes it as "partial large subunit ribosomal RNA". It matches the Rfam family "Eukaryotic large subunit ribosomal RNA", at positions 23 to 645 of the family's 3401-position model. Lineage: Eukaryota; Fungi; Neocallimastigomycota; Neocallimastigomycetes; Neocallimastigales. The record is from RNAcentral.
GAGACUCUGUGCGCGUGCAUAUCAAUAAGCGGAGGAAAAGAAACUAACAAGGAUUCCCUUAGUAACGGCGAGUGAAGCGGGAAGAGCUCAAAUUUGAAAUCUUCAAGGUUCUACCUUGACGAAUUGUAGUUUAUAGAAGUGUUUUCUGUUAGUAGAGUGGCAAAAGUUCUUUGGAAUAGGACAUCAUAGAGGGUGAGAAUCCCGUAUUUGGUCAUUCUUUCUAGCUUUGUGAUACACUUUCAACGAGUCGGAUUGUUUGGGAAUGCAGUCCAAAAUGGGUGGUAAAUUUCAUCUAAAGCUAAAUAUUGGCGAGAGACCGAUAGCGAACAAGUACCGUGAGGGAAAGAUGAAAAGAACUUUGAAAAGAGAGUUAAACAGUACGUGAAAUUGUCAAAAGGGAAGCGUUUGACACCAGUGUUGUUUUCUCGAAAAUCAAUUAAAAAUGCAUGGAUUUUGUGUUGUAUUGACUUUAUCAGCUUUCUGCACUCUUUUCUUAUCUUUUUUAAUGCACCUUUUCGUUUAACAAGUCAACAUCAAUUUCUUUUGUUGUAAAAGAGGUCAUUGGGAGGUGGCUUUCUUUUCGGAGAAAGUGUUUAUAGCCUUUGGCCUCUGCAAUCGGAGAGAUUGAGGUCUGCAGCGUAGAUCCUUCGGGGUUAGAUACAUUUGUGCUAAGUUAUAACCUUUCAUAGACAACUUGUUGACUAUGAUCAGUCAUGUAGCUUACUCGCUUAUGCUAUUUUACCUACGCUUAGGAUGUUGAAGUCAUCGUAUCGCGC